This is a long non-coding RNA of Cucumis sativus (cucumber), 577 nucleotides long. RefSeq lists it as uncharacterized. The record is from RefSeq and is a predicted model, not a curated record. Lineage: Eukaryota; Viridiplantae; Streptophyta; Magnoliopsida; Cucurbitales; Cucurbitaceae. The transcript has 2 exons.
AGUCUAAAACCAUAUCCUCACACAUAGUGUUUGACAAUUUUUAGAAGAAACUAGAAAAGAAAAAGAAGGGAAUACUUGAGCAUUGGAAAAUCGACGAUAUUCCCAAAGCUUUUUUCCUUUGUUAAAUUGCUUUUGAAAGUUGAUUAGCCUUUAGAACACAAAAAGAAGAGAGAGAGAGAGAUGUGUAUGCUAGUGGUUUGUAAGGAUUGCAGCAAAUAUACAUGGAAGGGGUGUGGCCGCCACCUUCCUGGUCUCUACAAGAGCGUAGAGAAGGGGAAGCACUGCAACUGCCACCCUUGGCCGGGUGUCGUCGUGCCACCGGAAGAUGUCCCCGACACGACGAAGCCAUCGCAACCAGUGCAACCAUCAUCUGUCUCUACAGGUAAGACAGUUAAGUAGGACACUAUGGGAGUAAGCCAAACUACAACUAUUACUACCUCUCUUCACUUGUCAAGGUUGUCACUUCAAAUAUUUCAUAUACUAUUAUUAUUCCAUAAAUAACGAAGGGCUUUGUAAAGGAUGCAAUCGUGUCCAAUUCUAAAUCAAUCAAAAAAAAAAAAAAAAACUUUGAGUCAUG